RNAcentral lists this long non-coding RNA (536 nucleotides) under Zonotrichia albicollis (white-throated sparrow). RNAcentral's name for it is "lncRNA (ENSZALG00000000447.1)". The record is from RNAcentral. Lineage: Eukaryota; Metazoa; Chordata; Aves; Passeriformes; Passerellidae.
GAGGACGUGUUUUUAAACUGUGUCCAGGGCUUGCAGAGAUUGAGACAACGAUAACUGAGGAGUCAGGAGAGAGAAAACACCAGGUCACAGAGUUGCCGAGGACAGGGCAAGAGGAGCAACUUGAGCUAACAGCAUAAAAUGGAGCAAAGGAAAAUUACAGCUUGAUUGCCCAGAAGCUGCCAGACUGCCAGCUGAGCCUCGUGGGGAAGAUGGUCAACUCAUUUCCUUGAACAGACUGGAAGAUGGGGGAAAAGCAAAAGAAGACAUGGGAACUGUCCCUUGGCUGUCAGCAGCCAUUUGGAAUUGUGAUGCUGGUAAAAGAAAGUAAGGGAGAGUGGCACGCCCCAUCCCCAAAAGGACCAGCUGGUGUCUGGAGGCACGGCAGGAGACCCCAGACUGGAAAAGAGCCUGGCUUGCCAUCCCAGGAGCUGCACCCAUGACCAAGCACAGCACCUGGGAGAAGGGAGUGAUGGCUCUGUGCAGCCUGGCUGUGCUGUGAGAGCUGCUUUGGGCACUGCUGGUAGUUUUGAAUGGCA